This 77-nucleotide transfer RNA is filed under the name Candidatus Kuenenbacteria bacterium. RNAcentral's name for it is "tRNA-Ile". It matches the Rfam family "tRNA". From Rfam's summary of the family: Transfer RNA (tRNA) molecules are approximately 80 nucleotides in length. Their secondary structure includes four short double-helical elements and three loops (D, anti-codon, and T loops). The record is from RNAcentral. Lineage: Bacteria; Candidatus Kueneniibacteriota.
GGGCAUGUAGCUCAGCUGGUUAGAGCACCACUCUUAUAAAGUGGGGGUCCUGGGUUCAAAUCCCAGCAUGCCCACCA